GGGGGAACCCACCAUCCGUCAUGGGAUGGUAUCCUUCGGGAAGGGAACCCGGUGAACUGAAACAUUUAAGUAGCCGGAGGAAGAGAAAUCAAACGAGAUGCCCACAGUAGCGGCGAGCGAAGAGGGCAGAGCCUAAACCAGAGAGCUUUGGCUCCCUGGGGUUACGGACUGGCAUAAACCGAGUCAGGCCUAGCCGAAUCACCUGGAAAGGUGAGCCACAGACCGUGAGAGCCGGGUAGGCGAAAGGCAGAGCAAGGGGGCCAGUAUCCAGAGUACCGCGAAGCACGAGGAAUUUUGCGGGAAGUCGGGGGGACCACCCUCCAAGGCU
This 328-nucleotide ribosomal RNA is filed under the name Acidaminococcus fermentans. RNAcentral describes it as "bacterial LSU rRNA". It matches the Rfam family "Bacterial large subunit ribosomal RNA", at positions 120 to 467 of the family's 2925-position model. Lineage: Bacteria; Bacillati; Bacillota; Negativicutes; Acidaminococcales; Acidaminococcaceae. The record is from RNAcentral.